GUGCUCGCUUCGGCAGCACAUAUACUAAAAAAAAAAAAUGGAACGAUACAGAGAAGAUUAGCAUGGCCCCUGCACAAGGAUGACACGCAAAUUCAUGAAGCGUUCCAUAUUUUU
Molecule: small nuclear RNA, 114 nt
Filed under: Erinaceus europaeus (western European hedgehog)
Lineage: Eukaryota; Metazoa; Chordata; Mammalia; Eulipotyphla; Erinaceidae
Source: RNAcentral